This 252-nucleotide ribosomal RNA is filed under the name Paraprevotella clara YIT 11840. RNAcentral's name for it is "partial 16S ribosomal RNA". It matches the Rfam family "Bacterial small subunit ribosomal RNA", at positions 524 to 776 of the family's 1533-position model. The record is from RNAcentral. Lineage: Bacteria; Pseudomonadati; Bacteroidota; Bacteroidia; Bacteroidales; Prevotellaceae.
UACGGAAGAUGCGAGCGUUAUCCGGAUUUAUUGGGUUUAAAGGGAGCGUAGGCGGGCGAUUAAGUCAGCGGUAAAAUAGUGUGGCUCAACCAUGCUCUGCCGUUGAUACUGGUUGCCUUGAGUGCACACAAGGAAGAUGGAAUUCGUGGUGUAGCGGUGAAAUGCUUAGAUAUCACGAAGAACUCCGAUUGUGAAGGCAGUCUUCUGGGGUGUUACUGACGCUGAGGCUCGAAAGUGCGGGUAUCAAACAGG